Molecule: long non-coding RNA, 617 nt
Filed under: Gossypium barbadense (sea-island cotton)
Lineage: Eukaryota; Viridiplantae; Streptophyta; Magnoliopsida; Malvales; Malvaceae
Description: long non-coding RNA (GBAR_LNC018582)
Source: RNAcentral
UUUUUUUUGUGCUCUGCUAGGGUUUAGCCCUAGUUUCGGCCAUCGUUCGCAACGCAGGCCAUUCAAAAAUCUCACAUCCUCGUCCUACUCCGAUUGCGACGAAGAAAACGAAGGACCGACCACCAGGUAACCUCUGCACACUCCACUAUCUUUAUUUUUUUUAAUAUCGUCCACGAAUGAUGAACCAAAGAGUAAAGAAAUGGAAUCAGAGAAGGGAAAGCAAAAGAAAACUCAGAAAAGCAAAGCAAAAUUCCUAUUCACCUUUAGAUUUUUUUUCUGAAUAUUUUUCUAUUUCUUGUAUUCAAUCUUCUUGCCUCUGUAAAAAGAUCCGUUUACAGUGUUUGUAUUGGCUCUUUAUAGCCAAAAUAAAAAAAAUAAGAUAAAAUAAAAAAUACUGAAAUACAAUUUGUUGUCCUUUUUCUUGUUAUUUCGUUUUUCUUUUGUUUGUUUGUGAGUUUGUUGCAGGUGAUGAACCAGCUUGGCGCUGAGGGUGCACGUGGAUUUGGCGCGGAGGCGCUGCACGCGCGGGGAGGAGGCCUGGCUCGACUGCAGCGGCUGAGGCUUGAGGCGUAGCGCUUGGGAACCUGGAACGCCAAAUUGUUCUAGAAAUCCCUAGG